This is a long non-coding RNA of Daphnia magna, 322 nucleotides long. RefSeq lists it as uncharacterized. The record is from RefSeq and is a predicted model, not a curated record. The transcript has 2 exons. Lineage: Eukaryota; Metazoa; Arthropoda; Branchiopoda; Diplostraca; Daphniidae.
GUUGUCACGGUGUUAAACGGAGUGGAAAGUUACCUAACCUGUUUUUAAAGGCGGUUUGUGAAUAAUGAAAGAUCCCGUUUAGCAUGGACCAAGGAAUCGUUUUUUCUACUUUGAAGUAUUUUAGUCUUGCAUUGACUUACACGAUUUUACGAUGAUAAUUUACACGGUUUUAUCUAAGAAGGAAAUUCGACUCCACGGUUUUAGAGAGCUUGACUGAUUGUUUCCGGUUUAUGUAUACACUUCCCUAUGUACGUCAGAAAGCAAAGUUUGAUAACAGAAAAAAAAUGCCCAAAUUAAUAAUAAAUAAACGUCCCGUACUGUA